Nothobranchius furzeri (turquoise killifish) is the source of this 2049-nucleotide long non-coding RNA. The record is from Ensembl. NCBI's taxonomy places the organism in Eukaryota, Metazoa, Chordata, Actinopteri, Cyprinodontiformes, Nothobranchiidae.
AUGACACAACCAAAAUCCUAUUUCCAAAAGUACCGCAAAGAAUGGGAGUCACUACCUGAAUUUAAAGGUUGGCUGAAACCACAUGCAGGUAGUGACAUUAGAGCUACCUGCAUGUACUGCAAAACAGACCUCUAUGCAAAGUUGUCAGACAUUAAAAAGCAUGCAGCUACCCAGAAGCACAUCGAGAAGGCUAAGCCUUACAAUCAGGCAAGCCAACCCAAACUGACAUUCGUUGCCAAAAAAACGGACACACUGAAGCAGGCAGAGGCCACAAUUGCUUUGGCUAUCAGUGAUCACUGCUCAAUUUUGUCAUGUGACCACAUUGGUUUAGCAUGCAAAGCAGCUUUCCCUGAUUCUACUAUUGCCCAAAAUUUUCGGAUGCACCGUACCAAAUGCACUGAGAUGAUAAAUGGUGUUUUGGCUCCAUAUUUCAUACAGCGGUUGGUGGCUGACAUUGGCAGUAACAAAUACAGCCUUUUGCUUGAUGAAAGCACAGAUGUCAGUGUCUCCAAAUAUCUGGGCAUUGUGGUUCGCUAUUUUAGUGAGGGAAAGGGACACGUGGUGGACACCUUCCUUGGCCUUCUUGAGCUGGAGGGAGGGGAUGCGAAGAGCAUCGCCAAGGCAGUUCUCUCCUUUCUCCAUCAGUCUGGCCUUGAGAAGGAGAACCUGCUUGGCAUUGGAACAGACAAUGCAUCAGUAAUGACAGGGAUAUACAAUGGUGUUCACAAAAUUCUUAAAGAAGAAAUAAAACACCUUGUUCUCAUCCGCUGUGUAUGUCACUCCUUGCAACUGGCUGUCAGCUCUGCUUCCAAAACCACUCUUCCUCGCAGUGUUGAGUUCCUGGUCAGGGAAACCUACAAUUGGUUCUCCAUCUCCCCUAAAAGAAAAGAAGCAUACAGGACAGUUUAUGAAACCAUAAACUGUGGCGAGAGGCCAUUGGCCAUAACAAGAGUCUGUGCCACACGCUGGCUUUCAAUAGAACCUGCUGUAUCAAGACUACUCAGUCAGUGGGAGGAGCUAAAGCUCCAUUUUAGUCUGACCAAGACAAGCGAGCAUUGCUACAUGGCAGACGUUUUGCAUUCAAUGUAUGCUGACCCACAGAACCUACUGUACUUGACCUACCUGAAAUCAAUCCUUGGUGAGGUGCAGGCUGCAGUGAAGGCCUUUGAGGGAGAGCAAACAGAUCCUCUCAAGCUCCUGGACUGUUUAAUUCUACUAAUUAAAUCUGUGUGCAGCAGAGUUCUUCAUCCUGGGGCUACAAUUGACAUCCUGAAAGACCCAAUAGAGAACCACAUCUCACCCAGGCCGUAUCUUGGCUUUGCAUUUGAGUCCAAAACAGCAGAGCUUACCAUCUCCCCUGAGGAUGAGGACUGUGUGAGACGGAGGUGUAUUAGUUACACCGUUGCCCUAGCCAAUGAGCUUCGAGCAAGACUUCCGGACAGUCUGGAAAUUCUUCAGCACAUGUCAUUGUUCAGCGUCGGAGAGACCCUGAAACAAAACAAGAACCCAGAUGACAUGGCAAAGCUGAUGGUCUUAUUAGGAUAUGAUCCUGAAACAACUGACCGCAUAAUUAAUCAGUGGAGAAGUGUCCAUUUUCAGAGAUGGGAGGAAACAGCCAACACCACUGGGUUCUGGUUUGAGGUCAAAAAGCACAGGGAUGCAGCAGGCCUUAACCCAUUUGAAGAGUUGGCGUCUGCAGCAGUUGCAGUUCUUUCGCUGCCUCACUCAAAUGCUGCAGUAGAAAGACUCUUCAGCCAAAUGGGUGUCAUUAAAAACAAAUUAAGAAGCCGCAUGUCCCUCCAAACUCUCACCUCCAUCCUCCACAUAAGAUAUGGCUUAAGACUAGCUGGGAACACGUGUUAUGAGCACAAGUUGCCAGAUAAGGUGCUAAAUCUCUUUGCCACGUCUGCUGCCUACUCUUUUAAAGCAGACAGUUGUCCAGGUCCAAGCAUGCAGUCAUCCAGCACUGCUUCUCAGAGGGAAAGCACUGAUAGUGCUUGUAUAGAGGACAUGGAGUUCUGCCUCAGGGCCCUCGAUGAUCUAGAGUAA